Molecule: ribosomal RNA, 334 nt
Filed under: uncultured eukaryote
Lineage: Eukaryota
Description: partial 18S ribosomal RNA
Rfam family: Eukaryotic small subunit ribosomal RNA
Source: RNAcentral
CCCUUAGAUGUCCGGGGCCGCACGCGCGCUACACUGAAGGAAUCAGCGUGGCUUUCUCCCUGACCCGAAAGGGUUGGGAAACCCGUUGAAUCUCCUUCGUGAUAGGGAUUGGGGCUUGAAAUUGUUCCCCAUGAACGAGGAAUUCCCAGUAAGCGCGAGUCAUAAGCUCGCGUUGAUUACGUCCCAGCCCUUUGUACACACCGCCCGUCGCUACUACCGAUUGAACGGUUUAGUGAGGGCCUCGGAUUGGUCUCGGCCCGCUCUUUACCGGGCGGCGCCGUUGGUCGAGAAGACGCUCGAACUUGAUCGUUUAGAGGAAGUAAAAGUCGUAAUA